This 497-nucleotide ribosomal RNA is filed under the name uncultured bacterium. Its description in RNAcentral is "partial 16S ribosomal RNA". It matches the Rfam family "Bacterial small subunit ribosomal RNA", at positions 28 to 507 of the family's 1533-position model. The record is from RNAcentral.
GAUGAACGCUGGCGGCGUGCCUAAUACAUGCAAGUCGAGCGAACGGACGAGAAGCUUGCUUCUCUGAUGUUAGCGGCGGACGGGUGAGUAACACGUGGAUAACCUACCUAUAAGACUGGGAUAACUUCGGGAAACCGUAGCUAAUACCGGAUAAUAUUUUGAACCGCAUGGUUCAAAAGUGAAAGACGGUCUUGCUGUCACUUAUAGAUGGAUCCGCGCUGCAUUAGCUAGUUGGUAAGGUAACGGCUUACCAAGGCAACGAUGCAUAGCCGACCUGAGAGGGUGAUCGGCCACACUGGAACUGAGACACGGUCCAGACUCCUACGGGAGGCAGCAGUAGGGAAUCUUCCGCAAUGGGCGAAAGCCUGACGGAGCAACGCCGCGUGAGUGAUGAAGGUCUUCGGAUCGUAAAACUCUGUUAUUAGGGAAGAACAUAUGUGUAAGUAACUGUGCACAUCUUGACGGUACGUAAUCAGAAAGCCACGGCUAACUACGUG